Molecule: non-coding RNA, 118 nt
Filed under: Rhizobium sp.
Lineage: Bacteria; Pseudomonadati; Pseudomonadota; Alphaproteobacteria; Hyphomicrobiales; Rhizobiaceae
Description: TPP sequence
Rfam family: TPP riboswitch aptamer (THI element)
About the family: Vitamin B(1) in its active form thiamin pyrophosphate (TPP) is an essential coenzyme that is synthesised by coupling of pyrimidine and thiazole moieties in bacteria.
Source: RNAcentral
GACAUUCACCAGGGGGGUCCCGCCAAGGGGCUGAGAUACUGCUAGCUCAAUGCAGCGCAGUGACCCGUUGAACCUGAUCCAGUUCAUACUGGCGUAGGGACGGUGCAAGCGCUGCGGC